UCUAGAACUCGAGAUAUUGGUUGAAUACUAAACAAUGUCUAGGCUGGAGGACAGAUUCUGACUUCUCUUUUGUUGCUACAAUUUGAACUUGAAAACGACCCUUUUGAAUUUUGGACUCUUCAUGAAAGUUUUAGGCCUAUGUCUUAGCUAUAUAUC
Molecule: microRNA precursor, 156 nt
Filed under: Populus trichocarpa (black cottonwood)
Lineage: Eukaryota; Viridiplantae; Streptophyta; Magnoliopsida; Malpighiales; Salicaceae
Description: MIR2912 microRNA precursor family
Rfam family: MIR2912 microRNA precursor family
Source: Rfam by way of RNAcentral